AAGUUGAGCAGUGUGGUUAAUGUCUUCCCCCCCUCUCUGCUCUCUCUUCAUCAGGUUGAAGCACAUCCCCAACAUCCAGACUGAUCUAAAUAACGUGGAAACCUCCCAGCAGCCACCAAGAAAAUCAUCUUGGUACUUGGAGUUUACUCACAAGGUUUGUCAGAUGAUUUCCAGGAGCCUGGUGGAGAUGGAUACAACCAUAAUCCAAGACAGGACAUUUCCCAGCAUCCAGGUUGAGGCCUGCUACCAGCAGAAACAUGGAAUACUCCCAUGUGAGUCUGCUGGGCCAUGGAACUCUAGAGCAGCGCAUCAAACAAACCUGCCACCACGUUGUCAGCUAUCAGACAGUUCCCUGAGGAAGGAGGCAAAUAUCAAUGCUUUAAAUUAUCACAUUUGGGUGAUGCCCACCAAAUGCAAAUAAAGUUUUGUGUAAAAUUUUGUAACAAUAA
Long non-coding RNA from Oncorhynchus nerka (sockeye salmon), 449 nucleotides. RefSeq lists it as uncharacterized. NCBI's taxonomy places the organism in Eukaryota, Metazoa, Chordata, Actinopteri, Salmoniformes, Salmonidae. The transcript is spliced from 3 exons. The record is from RefSeq and is a predicted model, not a curated record.